ACGACCUUACUUGAACAGGAUCUGUUCUAUAGUGUCGUACCUCUGUAUCCUUUAGCACAAAGGAGACAGGUUCACAAGUCUGGUUGACGAAUCAUGGCCUUGUGAUCAGAGCGUGAUUAACAGCUUCCUGGUCCUGUUCCGGACCAGACAGCAGUAGAGGAUCGUUCUCAGCCAGUGGUUCCUUCUGGCUGGGGUGGUCACAAGGUUGUCCGACAGACC
RNAcentral lists this small nucleolar RNA (219 nucleotides) under Corchorus olitorius. RNAcentral describes it as "Plant small nucleolar RNA U3". It matches the Rfam family "Plant small nucleolar RNA U3". From Rfam's summary of the family: Small nucleolar RNAs (snoRNAs) are involved in the processing and modification of rRNA in the nucleolus. Lineage: Eukaryota; Viridiplantae; Streptophyta; Magnoliopsida; Malvales; Malvaceae. The record is from Rfam by way of RNAcentral.